GGGGGCGUAGCGCAGCUAGAACGGCUUAUAAAAAGUGGUAAAGUAGCGCGGCUGGCUCCAGACCAGUUGGUCGUGGGUUCAAGUCCCACCGCCCCCA
This 97-nucleotide transfer RNA is filed under the name Candidatus Jordarchaeales archaeon. RNAcentral describes it as "tRNA-Trp". It matches the Rfam family "tRNA". Rfam says of the family: Transfer RNA (tRNA) molecules are approximately 80 nucleotides in length. Their secondary structure includes four short double-helical elements and three loops (D, anti-codon, and T loops). Further hydrogen bonds mediate the characteristic L-shaped molecular structure. tRNAs have two regions of fundamental functional importance: the anti-codon, which is responsible for specific mRNA codon recognition, and the 3' end, to which the tRNAs corresponding amino acid is attached (by aminoacyl-tRNA synthetases). tRNAs cope with the degeneracy of the genetic code in two manners: having more than one tRNA (with a specific anti-codon) for a particular amino acid; and 'wobble' base-pairing, i.e. permitting non-standard base-pairing at the 3rd anti-codon position. RNAcentral also lists the same sequence under 1 other name. Lineage: Archaea; Promethearchaeati; Candidatus Jordarchaeia; Candidatus Jordarchaeales. The record is from RNAcentral.